GCCGGUAUAGCACAACGGUAGUGCUUCUGCUUUGUAAGCAGGGGGUUGUGGGUUCGAUUCCUACUGCCGGCACCA
This 75-nucleotide transfer RNA is filed under the name Ignavibacteria bacterium. Its description in RNAcentral is "tRNA-Thr". It matches the Rfam family "tRNA". From Rfam's summary of the family: Transfer RNA (tRNA) molecules are approximately 80 nucleotides in length. Their secondary structure includes four short double-helical elements and three loops (D, anti-codon, and T loops). RNAcentral also lists the same sequence under 1 other name. Lineage: Bacteria; Pseudomonadati; Ignavibacteriota; Ignavibacteria. The record is from RNAcentral.